This is a long non-coding RNA of Anguilla anguilla (European eel), 391 nucleotides long. RefSeq lists it as uncharacterized. The transcript is spliced from 2 exons. Lineage: Eukaryota; Metazoa; Chordata; Actinopteri; Anguilliformes; Anguillidae. The record is from RefSeq and is a predicted model, not a curated record.
UGAUGGUGGUGUUGGUGGUGGUGGUGAAGAAGACAGAAUGAAGGUGCAGGUGAUGAUGAUGAUACUGGUGUUGGGGAUGGUGAUGGUGAUGAUUGACCACGCACACAGAGCAGAGAAAGGUAGAGGUUUAGGUGAGGACCAUGAGGACGUGCGGGGGCAUGGCACUUGCUGUGCAAUGCUAUCCCUUCAUCUUCCUCAGUCUCUGUUCUCAUAAACAGGCUUAUCUCUCUCCAGUGGAGGCUUGACAAAUGCCAGAGAGCUUCAUUCCACUAAAAUUGAGAGCUUCCUCUCCACCCUUCCCUAUCUCUCUCUCUCUGUCUCCACUUUCUCUCGCCAUCCUUAGCAGUACCACAGAAACCCACCUCUUUUUCCAAUAAAAGUUUUCCAAGGA